CUGCGAAAGCCGGAUUAAUACCGCAUACGCUCUAUGGAGGAAAGCGGGGGAUCUUCGGACCUCGCGCUCAAGGGGCGGCCGAUGGCGGAUUAGCUAGUUGGUGGGGUAAAGGCCUACCAAGGCGACGAUCCGUAGCUGGUCUGAGAGGACGACCAGCCACACUGGGACUGAGACACGGCCCAGACUCCUACGGGAGGCAGCAGUGGGGAAUUUUGGACAAUGGGGGCAACCCUGAUCCAGCAAUGCCGCGUGUGUGAAGAAGGCCUUCGGGUUGUAAAGCACUUUUGUCCGGAAAGAAAACGGCCUGGUUAAUACCCGGGUUGGAUGACGGUACCGGAAGAAUAAGCACCGGCUAACUACGUGCCAGCAGCCGCGGUAAUACGUAGGGUGCGAGCGUUAAUCGGAAUUACUGGGCGUAAAGCGUGCGCAGGCGGUUUGCUAAGACCGAUGUGAAAUCCCCGGGCUUAACCUGGGAACUGCAUUGGUGACUGGCGAGCUAGAGUAUGGCA
Molecule: ribosomal RNA, 509 nt
Filed under: uncultured Burkholderia sp.
Lineage: Bacteria; Pseudomonadati; Pseudomonadota; Betaproteobacteria; Burkholderiales; Burkholderiaceae
Description: bacterial SSU rRNA
Rfam family: Bacterial small subunit ribosomal RNA
Source: RNAcentral